GACGAACGCUGGCGGCGUGCUUAACACAUGCAAGUCGAACGGAAAGGCCCUGCUUUUGUGGGGUGCUCGAGGGGCGAACGGGGGAGUAACACGUGAGUAACCUGCCCUUGACUUUGGGAUAACUUCAGGAAACGGGGGCUAAUAUCGGAUAGGAGCUCCUGCUGCAGGGUGGGGGUUGGAAAGUUUCGGCGGUUGGGGAUGGACUCGCGGCUAAUGAGCUUGUUGGUGGGGUAGUUGCUGACCAAGGCUUUGACGGGUAGCCGGCCUGGGAGGGUGGCCGGCCACAAUGCGACUGAGAGACGGCCCAGACUCGUACGGGAGGCAACAGUGGGGAAUAUUGCACAGUGGGCGGAAGCGUGAUGCAGCAGCGCCGCGUGCGGAAUGACGGCCUUCGGGUUGUAAACCGCUUUCGCCUGUGACGAAGCGUGAGUGACGGUAAUGGGUAAAGAAGCACCGGCUAACUACGUG
RNAcentral lists this ribosomal RNA (468 nucleotides) under uncultured bacterium. Its description in RNAcentral is "partial 16S ribosomal RNA". It matches the Rfam family "Bacterial small subunit ribosomal RNA", at positions 28 to 507 of the family's 1533-position model. The record is from RNAcentral.